GGGGAAUAUUGGGCAAUGGGCGCAAGCCUGACCCAGCAACGCCGCGUGAGGGAAGAAGGCUUUCGGGUUGUAAACCUCUGUCCUUGGUGACGAAACAAAUGACGGUAGCCAAGGAGGAAGCCCCGGCUAACUACGUGCCAGCAGCCGCGGUAAUACGUAGGGGGCGAGCGUUGUCCGGAAUUACUGGGCGUAAAGGGUGCGUAGGUGGCCUUUUAAGUUGGAUGUGAAAUACCCGGGCUUAACUUGGGGGGUGCAUCUAAUACUGGGAGGCUAGAGUGCAGGAGAGGAAAGCGGAAUUCCUAGUGUAGCGGUGAAAUGCGUAGAUAUUAGGAGGAACACCAGUGGCGAAGGCGGCUUUCUGGACUGUAACUGACACUGAGGCACGAAAGCGUGGGGAGCAAAC
This 403-nucleotide ribosomal RNA is filed under the name uncultured bacterium. Its description in RNAcentral is "bacterial SSU rRNA". It matches the Rfam family "Bacterial small subunit ribosomal RNA", at positions 356 to 773 of the family's 1533-position model. The record is from RNAcentral.